UCCCUGGUAGUAUAUCGGUUAGUACACGCGCUUGUCACGCGCGAAAGCGGGGUUCGACUCCCCGCCAAGGAG
This is a transfer RNA of Stereum hirsutum FP-91666 SS1, 72 nucleotides long. It matches the Rfam family "tRNA". From Rfam's summary of the family: Transfer RNA (tRNA) molecules are approximately 80 nucleotides in length. Their secondary structure includes four short double-helical elements and three loops (D, anti-codon, and T loops). NCBI's taxonomy places the organism in Eukaryota, Fungi, Basidiomycota, Agaricomycetes, Russulales, Stereaceae. The record is from Rfam.